Molecule: transfer RNA, 67 nt
Filed under: Engaewa walpolea
Lineage: Eukaryota; Metazoa; Arthropoda; Malacostraca; Decapoda; Parastacidae
Description: tRNA-Ile
Source: RNAcentral
AAUAUAAUGCCUGAAUAAAGGAUAGCUUUGAUAGAACUAAUAAUGUGUAUUUAUUACUCUUAUAUUA